CGAAAUAAGAAUCGCAUUUUCAAUUUUAUUUAGAUGAGAUUUCUACUUCACGUACAAAAACCGAUGUUAAAUAAAGGGAUAACGAGACUCUGGAAAACUGUUCUGUAUAGGAACUUGCGAUUUACUUACUACCUCACACUCAUUACUUACAAUCCUUAUAAACGGCCGAUAUUGUCUUGAUGCCAUAAUUGCUCAGAGACGCAAGAACCUCGAUAAGUGCACCCUCAUCAGUGCCUAUACCAGAAAGAGCUUUGUGCAAUUCCUUGGCAUACAGUUCAGGAAGAGGCGUCAUUAAAGCGCAGAUAACCGUUUCGAAGUUUCCGGACAACUCAGACUUCAGCUCCGAGACGAGAUCCUUGCCGUACAUUGUUUUGAAUUUAUCGGCGAUCUCCAGUCGUUGUACGAUGCCCCGAUGAGCUAGAACGUCGAUGAUGGCCUGUUCGUCAGUUCCGAAACCCUUCAUGGCGGUGCGCAGGAGGCUGGCAUCUGCCUCGGCAUCGAAGGGAUCGGCCGGAUACACGCAGGGCGUACACUGGAAAUAUUUAUAAUUAAUUAAUUGAAAAAGGGAGAUGACGAUGAUGAUGAUGAUAUGAUGAAGGAAUAUCAUUUCACAAGAUGCCGCAAGAUUAUAUCGAUCAGAUCGGCGAAGUGACACUUCGGGUGUGGCUUGCUUUACCUUUUUUGACGGCUACGAGAUACGCUCCUUCCGGAAAACGGUGUCGAUUCUGGUAGUUGGUGGCCAACUAACGGCCUGCAACGCAUUCUCCGUUGACGGGAAGAAGUACGGGAGAGAAGAGGAAAGGAAUUUGUUGAAUGAUUCUUCGUUGCGUUGCGUAUGAAUACUUUGCUAACUGGGUGGAAACUGUUCUGCCAGCGGCGAUAUUAAGGACAAUGUUGAGGGAAAGAGAGAGAGAAACAUUGGUGGGGCUGACGACGUAGCGCCGAAUAAUGACGUGGAGAACGGAAUAUCCUGUAGUGAGCUAAGGAGAUAGUGAGUGAACCAUUGCCCGCCCGACUGACGCCGUCGAUGAGAUCAAUAGGAUACAAUGACAAUAAUUUUUAGGAACUACCAAAAUUCGCACAUCAAAUACGUUUUGCAUACGUAUAAAUUUUAAUAAUAAAUUCGAAAAUUGAAAAAAAACUUCUAUUACGUAUUUCCUCAAUAAUUAAUAUAUUACUCACGAAGAGCGUAUAUAUGAUUCAUAAUCCUUGAUUGAAUGAGAACAGAUCGUGACGCUCUUGAACACGUAGAAUGCGUGACGGAAUUAGCACAUCCAGUGUCUCGAAAGUCAUUAUUUAGAGAUAUUUCGCAUAAACCAUACAGAAAUCGAACUAAAGAUGAACAAAUUUGAUCUUAUCAAAAUAUCUAAUAUAUUUUUACAAAUAUAAAUUUUGUUGAGCUUCCAAAAUCAUUAAAUUCAAUAGAGACGUCACUUUUCUGUACCUAUGUGUACACCUUAUAUACAUGUAUGAUGUCACUUGCAUAACAUGCAUGCCUAUUCAGAAAAUUUAUUCAUUCACAUUGUAAAAAUUCGAUGACGCAUUCAAAAAGAAUUCGAUAAAUUCAAUUCGAUAUUAUAUGUGAUUGUUAUUUAUAAAAGUAUUUAAAAUUUUUUCAAAAACAUUUUUUUUCACAAUGCAUUGAUGGACCAAAUGCAUUGGAAGAAAAUUAUAUUGAUAAAAUGAUAUUCUUGAUAAGAUCUAUCGGUGUAAUAAAUUUUGAUAAUUUUUAAUGUAGAUAAUCAAUAAUAAAUUCUUAUAUAUUUAGGAUUAGUAGAGCUUAUAAUAGAAGAAAAAUUCGAUGUGGAGCCGUCUGAAAAUGUUUUAUUAAGAUUACAUAUGGCAAGCGAGGCUUUCGUUUCCAAUUCCUCAAAUUGAAAAUCCCUCCUCAACAUUUUUUUUCAAUACAUACAUAUAUUUAUAUAUAUAUAUAUAUAUACUGUCAGUACGAUAAAAAGUGCACAUUCUCUAGCACAUUUUGCACUUGUCUUAUCUAAUUAUCUACUAAAAAUUUGUCUAGGUUCUCUUUUUUCUUUAUCACCUUUACCACUUUGAGAGAAUCGUUCUCUUACACAUCUGCACUAUACAAUUAUAGUACAGUCAAGAACAUGCGAGCUGAAUGUUAUAAUCAUUCGUAACCGUGAAUAAUAUCUUGAUAAUAUGAAUUUCUUACAUUUUGCAAAAUAUAAUACAUAGUUUGUAUUAACAGUAAAAUGUAUAUUGUCAACAUAUUGUAAAAUAAUUUAUAAAAGAUCAACGCAUGUUAUGUACUGAAAAGUUUUUUCAAAUGUAAAAUGAGUCUCGUUAAUGAUUCUAAAUUGUGCGUAGCAAAGGAACCACGUUACACAUCUUCAAAUCAUACAUACGUCAUAUCUCACUUAGCAUUAUCUCUUUUGACUAUAUAAGGUGUUCCGCAAUAUGUACGCGCAAUCUUGAUCAUAACAACCGAGCAAUUUGAAGACGAUCUUUCCGUAGCAAAAAUAUUGUAGAAAGCUCAUGACUUUAAUUUCUUAAUAUUAAAAAAAUCUAGUGGCUUAUAAUUAAGAAAAA
Nylanderia fulva is the source of this 2550-nucleotide non-coding RNA. Lineage: Eukaryota; Metazoa; Arthropoda; Insecta; Hymenoptera; Formicidae. The record is from RefSeq and is a predicted model, not a curated record.